GUGAUGGAUCACCCGGGCGGCGGCAUUUAAAUUCCGAGCGCUCCUCCAUCAAGGUGACGCGCAGCCCCACCGACGACACCCCUCCCUCCCUCCUUCCCUCCCUCCUUCCCUCGCCCAUCCCCAGCCAAUGCCUUGGGGUGGCUGGAGAGCCCCGCCAGGCAGGCAGUGUGCGCCCAGGCGCUCAGCCUGAAAGACCAGCGCCGCAGAAGGAGGCAAGAAAGGAUGGACGGAAGAAGAGCCCAGCCUGGCAGGGUUGUUUUGUUGGGAUCUUUGAACCCCUGGGAAAUCUACCAAAAGAAAGCCUUUGCUGGUACUCAAGGACUGUUUCUUCAAGGCGAUUGUUUGGGAAAGGAACAGCUAAACGCUUUCAAUAACAGCAAAGUAGCCCCUGUUUCCUCUUGGACCGUGGUAUAUUCUGCCUCUAAUGAUAUAUUAGACAAACUGUACAAAAAUUAAAUUAUAUAUAUUUAAUAGAAAAUUAAAUAUAGAAAUGUCUUAAUGUGCUUCCAACUUUUUGAUUCUAAUGUGUUAGAUAAAUUAAAUGGGAAUAUAUAUAUGUUCGGAAGCAUUUUAA
Long non-coding RNA from Sceloporus undulatus (fence lizard), 574 nucleotides. RefSeq lists it as uncharacterized. Lineage: Eukaryota; Metazoa; Chordata; Lepidosauria; Squamata; Phrynosomatidae. The record is from RefSeq and is a predicted model, not a curated record. The transcript is spliced from 2 exons.